UAAGCGACUAAGCGUACACGGUGGAUGCCCUGGCAGUCAGAGGCGAUGAAGGACGUGCUAAUCUGCGAUAAGCGUCGGUAAGGUGAUAUGAACCGUUAUAACCGGCGAUUUCCGAAUGGGGAAACCCAGUGUGAUUCGUCACACUAUCAUUAACUGAAUCCAUAGGUUAAUGAGGCGAACCGGGGGAACUGAAACAUCUAAGUACCCCGAGGAAAAGAAAUCAACCGAGAUUCCCCCAGUAGCGGCGAGCGAACGGGGAGCAGCCCAGAGCCUGAAUCAGUGUGUGUGUUAGUGGAAGCGUCUGGAAAGGCGCGCGAUACAGGGUGACAGCCCCGUACACAAAAAUGCACAUGCUGUGAGCUCGAUGAGUAGGGCGGGACACGUGGUAUCCUGUCUGAAUAUGGGGGGACCAUCCUCCAAGGCUAAAUACUCCUGACUGACCGAUAGUGAACCAGUACCGUGAGGGAAAGGCGAAAAGAACCCCGGCGAGGGGAGUGAAAAAGAACCUGAAACCGUGUACGUACAAGCAGUGGGAGCACAGAGCAAUCUGUGUGACUGCGUACCUUUUGUAUAAUGGGUCAGCGACUUAUAUUCUGUAGCAAGGUUAACCGAAUAGGGGAGCCGAAGGGAAACCGAGUCUUAACUGGGCGUUAAGUUGCAGGGUAUAGACCCGAAACCCGGUGAUCUAGCCAUGGGCAGGUUGAAGGUUGGGUAACACUAACUGGAGGACCGAACCGACUAAUGUUGAAAAAUUAGCGGAUGACUUGUGGCUGGGGGUGAAAGGCCAAUCAAACCGGGAGAUAGCUGGUUCUCCCCGAAAGCUAUUUAGGUAGCGCCUCGUGAAUUCAUCUCCGGGGGUAGAGCACUGUUUCGGCAAGGGGGUCAUCCCGACUUACCAACCCGAUGCAAACUGCGAAUACCGGAGAAUGUUAUCACGGGAGACACACGGCGGGUGCUAACGUCCGUCGUGAAGAGGGAAACAACCCAGACCGCCAGCUAAGGUCCCAAAGUCAUGGUUAAGUGGGAAACGAUGUGGGAAGGCCCAGACAGCCAGGAUGUUGGCUUAGAAGCAGCCAUCAUUUAAAGAAAGCGUAAUAGCUCACUGGUCGAGUCGGCCUGCGCGGAAGAUGUAACGGGGCUAAACCAUGCACCGAAGCUGCGGCAGCGACGCUGAUGCGUUGUUGGGUAGGGGAGCGUUCUGUAAGCCUGCGAAGGUGUGCUGUGAGGCAUGCUGGAGGUAUCAGAAGUGCGAAUGCUGACAUAAGUAACGAUAAAGCGGGUGAAAAGCCCGCUCGCCGGAAGACCAAGGGUUCCUGUCCAACGUUAAUCGGGGCAGGGUGAGUCGACCCCUAAGGCGAGGCCGAAAGGCGUAGUCGAUGGGAAACAGGUUAAUAUUCCUGUACUUGGUGUUACUGCGAAGGGGGGACGGAGAAGGCUAUGUUGGCCGGGCGACGGUUGUCCCGGUUUAAGCGUGUAGGCUGGUUUUCCAGGCAAAUCCGGAAAAUCAAGGCUGAGGCGUGAUGACGAGGCACUACGGUGCUGAAGCAACAAAUGCCCUGCUUCCAGGAAAAGCCUCUAAGCAUCAGGUAACAUCAAAUCGUACCCCAAACCGACACAGGUGGUCAGGUAGAGAAUACCAAGGCGCUUGAGAGAACUCGGGUGAAGGAACUAGGCAAAAUGGUGCCGUAACUUCGGGAGAAGGCACGCUGAUAUGUAGGUGAAGUCCCUCGCGGAUGGAGCUGAAAUCAGUCGAAGAUACCAGCUGGCUGCAACUGUUUAUUAAAAACACAGCACUGUGCAAACACGAAAGUGGACGUAUACGGUGUGACGCCUGCCCGGUGCCGGAAGGUUAAUUGAUGGGGUCAGCGCAAGCGAAGCUCUUGAUCGAAGCCCCGGUAAACGGCGGCCGUAACUAUAACGGUCCUAAGGUAGCGAAAUUCCUUGUCGGGUAAGUUCCGACCUGCACGAAUGGCGUAAUGAUGGCCAGGCUGUCUCCACCCGAGACUCAGUGAAAUUGAACUCGCUGUGAAGAUGCAGUGUACCCGCGGCAAGACGGAAAGACCCCGUGAACCUUUACUAUAGCUUGACACUGAACAUUGAGCCUUGAUGUGUAGGAUAGGUGGGAGGCUUUGAAGUGUGGACGCCAGUCUGCAUGGAGCCGGCCUUGAAAUACCACCCUUUAAUGUUUGAUGUUCUAACGUUGACCCGUAAUCCGGGUUGCGGACAGUGUCUGGUGGGUAGUUUGACUGGGGCGGUCUCCUCCUAAAGAGUAACGGAGGAGCACGAAGGUUGGCUAAUCCUGGUCGGACAUCAGGAGGUUAGUGCAAUGGCAUAAGCCAGCUUGACUGCGAGCGUGACGGCGCGAGCAGGUGCGAAAGCAGGUCAUAGUGAUCCGGUGGUUCUGAAUGGAAGGGCCAUCGCUCAACGGAUAAAAGGUACUCCGGGGAUAACAGGCUGAUACCGCCCAAGAGUUCAUAUCGACGGCGGUGUUUGGCACCUCGAUGUCGGCUCAUCACAUCCUGGGGCUGAAGUAGGUCCCAAGGGUAUGGCUGUUCGCCAUUUAAAGUGGUACGCGAGCUGGGUUUAGAACGUCGUGAGACAGUUCGGUCCCUAUCUGCCGUGGGCGCUGGAGAACUGAGGGGGGCUGCUCCUAGUACGAGAGGACCGGAGUGGACGCAUCACUGGUGUUCGGGUUGUCAUGCCAAUGGCACUGCCCGGUAGCUAAAUGCGGAAGAGAUAAGUGCUGAAAGCAUCUAAGCACGAAACUUGCCCCGAGAUGAGUUCUCCCUGACUCCUUGAGAGUCCUGAAGGAACGUUGAAGACGACGACGUUGAUAGGCCGGGUGUGUAAGCGCAGCGAUGCGUUGAGCUAACCGGUACUAAUGAACCGUGAGGCUUAACCU
Molecule: ribosomal RNA, 2902 nt
Filed under: Escherichia coli DEC12B
Lineage: Bacteria; Pseudomonadati; Pseudomonadota; Gammaproteobacteria; Enterobacterales; Enterobacteriaceae
Also listed under: 1 other name
Description: bacterial LSU rRNA
Rfam family: Bacterial large subunit ribosomal RNA
Source: RNAcentral